RNAcentral lists this ribosomal RNA (424 nucleotides) under uncultured bacterium. RNAcentral describes it as "bacterial SSU rRNA". It matches the Rfam family "Bacterial small subunit ribosomal RNA", at positions 356 to 772 of the family's 1533-position model. The record is from RNAcentral.
GGGGAAUAUUGCACAAUGGGCGCAAGCCUGAUGCAGCGACGUCGCGUGGAGGAUGAAGGUUUUCGGAUUGUAAACUCCUGUUAAACGGGAAGAAAGAGGCGUAGUUAAUAAGUACGCAAGAUGACGUUACCGUUAAAGAAAGCACCGGCUAACUUCGUGCCAGCAGCCGCGGUAAUACGAAGGGUGCGAGCGUUAUUCGGAAUAACUGGGCGUAAAGGGCGCGUAGGCGGCUUUUUAAGUUGACGGUUAAAAGCCAUGGCUUAACCAUGGAGAUGCCGGCGAUACUGGAAGGCUAGAGUAUGGUAGAGAGGAGUGGAAUUCUCGGAGUAGCGGUAAAAUGCGUAGAUCUCGAGAGGAACACCGAUGGCGAAGGCAGCUCCUUGGGCCAUAACUGACGCUAAGGCGCGAAAGCGUGGGGAGCAAA